RNAcentral lists this ribosomal RNA (434 nucleotides) under uncultured Clostridium sp. RNAcentral describes it as "partial 16S ribosomal RNA". It matches the Rfam family "Bacterial small subunit ribosomal RNA", at positions 341 to 792 of the family's 1533-position model. The record is from RNAcentral. Lineage: Bacteria; Bacillati; Bacillota; Clostridia; Eubacteriales; Clostridiaceae.
ACGGAAGGCAGCAGUGGGGAAUAUUGGACAAUGGGCGCAAGCCUGAUCCAGCGACGCCGCAUGAGUGAAGAAGUAUUUCGGUAUGUAAAGCUCUAUCAGCAGGGAAGAAAAUGACGGUACCUGACUAAGAAGCCCCGGCUAACUACGUGCCAGCAGCCGCGGUAAUACGUAGGGGGCAAGCGUUAUCCGGAUUUACUGGGUGUAAAGGGAGCGUAGACGGCGCUGCAAGUCAGAUGUGAAAGGCUGGGGCUUAACCCCGGGACUGCAUUUGAAACUGCAGUGCUCGAGUGCCGGAGAGGUAAGCGGAAUUCCUAGUGUAGCGGUGAAAUGCGUAGAUAUUAGGAGGAACACCAGUGGCGAAGGCGGCUUACUGGACGGUAACUGACGUUGAGGCUCGAAAGCGUGGGGAGCAAACAGGAUUAGAUACCCUGGUA